ACUCUUUUCUCUCCUUCAAACCUAGCCGUCAUCAUUGUAGGCCAUCUCUGGCCGUCGUUGGAGCUUGUUAGAGAUGAUGGAGAAUCAAUAAUAUGUUGAUGCUUUAGCAAUGUGUUAUCUCAUUCUUAUGCCUCUAUAACUCUUAUGUUUUCGCGUUUCGGUUUCCCUCCGCCGUUUUGUGAGCACACCACCGCCAUCUUAUUUGUUUCUUGCUACUGCUGUUCUUGAUCUUCACAUUUUGGGUUGAGCAUGUUUGCCGGAUGGGUACACAGCUGUUGCAGACACAUUACAAUCAGCUACUUUCCAAACUAGCUUGGACUUAUUACGGGUCAACCUGCGCAGAGCCCGCCUCGUGGGGUUCGUACCGUGUGCCCACUUGCUUUUGUUCUCUCACCAACUAGGGAGAUAUCAAUGCAGAUACAUGAAGAGGCUAAGAAGGUUGCAUGCCAGACCGGGGUUAGGGUGGUUGUUGCUUAUGGCAGAGCUCCAGUUAACCAACAGGUUUAUGUCCUAGCUUUUAU
Molecule: long non-coding RNA, 521 nt
Organism: Cicer arietinum (chickpea)
Lineage: Eukaryota; Viridiplantae; Streptophyta; Magnoliopsida; Fabales; Fabaceae
Source: RefSeq, a predicted model, not a curated record